Salmo salar (Atlantic salmon) is the source of this 1242-nucleotide non-coding RNA. NCBI's taxonomy places the organism in Eukaryota, Metazoa, Chordata, Actinopteri, Salmoniformes, Salmonidae. The record is from RefSeq and is a predicted model, not a curated record.
UUCCAGUCUCUCUGUGUCCUUCCUGGAUCUGACGCCUUACCCAGCAUCUCUGUCAACUCACACAAAUCUUAUGAUUGUGUGAAGAAAUGUGUCUCUGACCUGAAAAAGCCACUACAAAACUUGAUGAAAAAAAACAUGGUGAAGAUAUCUGGAGCAGUGAAAAAGGUUUACAUUGUUCCACUUCCUGAUCCCAAGACCAGAGAGUUCUUGAAAUAUUCCUGACAACUCACUUUGGAUCCAGACCCAGCCAAUGAGUACCUCUGGCUGUCUGAGGGGAACAGAAAGGGGAUAUGUAGAAAAGAGUCUCAGUCCUAUCCUACCAUCCAGACAGAUUUACCGACAUUGACCGGUGUUGUGUAGAGAGGGUCUGUCUGGAGCCUGCUACUGGGAAGUAGAGUGGAGCAGGGAGAGAGUUAAAGUAGCUGUCUCAUACAGAAGCAUCAGCAGGGAUGGAGAGGAAUAUGAGAGUGAUUUUCAAUGGAAUUAUCAGUUCUGGUGUUUGAACUGCAACCCACCCAUCCGCACUUUCUGGCACAAUCAAAACAUGACGGAUAUCCCUGUCCCCUGCCGCUCCAGAGUAGGAGUGUACCUGGACCACAGGGCAGGAACUCUGUCCUUUUAGUGUCUCUGACACAAUGACCCUCCUCCACAGAGUUCUGACCACAUUCACACAGCCCCUCCAUCCUGCGUUUGGGUUUUAUUAUGAUGAUUCAUCUGUGAGGAUACUGACACCUGUUCAAUGAUAAGCAUAUACAGUUUAGUUUAUUUAUUCACACAAAAAACAAGUGAAAGACAUACAGUGCAGGUGAAGUUGGAAACAAGGUAAAAAAGGUGUGCAGGUGACGUUGGAAACCAGAGGAUUUAUAUGAAAACCACAACAACAACAAAAAUAUGUAUAUGAAAACCACAAAAUUAUAUGUAACAAAACAGAUUUUUCAAUCAACAAAUAAGUAUAAGCAAAUGAAGUAUAAACAAAGUGUAAACAAAUUACUCAUACGUGCACUUCAAUGGUGGAGGGAAUGAUGGUGAAGUCUGAGAAGGUAGUAGUCAAUUAUACAUACUUGAUUAUUAAGUUGCUUGGCUGUUGCACUAUAACUGAAAUCUGUGUUUUGGGGACGUUAGAAAAUAUUUGUAAUGAAACUAAUACUGUAUGUUGAUUAUGUGCCUUCGUGAAGAUAACUGCUUGAUUGUAUUGUAUCAUGUUUGUGUUAAAUUAUGUAGAAUAAACUUGAAAUGGAGGUA